Non-coding RNA from Salmo salar (Atlantic salmon), 54 nucleotides. The record is from Rfam. Lineage: Eukaryota; Metazoa; Chordata; Actinopteri; Salmoniformes; Salmonidae.
AUGCAUUACUACUGUAAGCCGCUCUGGAUAAGAGCGUCUGCUAAAUGACUAAAA